GUGGCUAAUCGCCUGAAUGUAAUUUAUAAUUAUUAAUUAUAUAUCUUUUUGAAUUUAUUGAAGUCACUUCGGGGUAUUACGUGAAUGGCAUACACUGUAAAAGUGAAAUUUGCCAAUUGAAGUUAAUUAAUUUAACUCAAAAAUGUAAAAGAUUAUUUCAUCUUAAUUUGUGAUUUUAACUCAAAAGCUAUUUAGGUUAAGCAGAACUCAAGCUAAAAAAAUACAUAUUAAUUUAUUGAAUCUACCAUACAAUCUAUUCUUUUUAAGUAUAAAUGGCUGACCACAAAAUAUUUAAAAGAAUAAUGAACAUAAUUCGUGUUUUCAAACAGAGUAAAAAAGUAAUUAUUUUACUCGACAAAAUAAUAUCCGUGUGUUUUUCAAAAACCGCGCGCAUUUUUCAGUCAGUCACGUCACGUGCACUCCGCUCAUCCACACUGGACCGCACUCACUCACUCGCUGAUGGGAUCACAGCAGGAUUAACGUUAUUCGCGAGACACGACGCGGUCAUGGUAAAAAAUACAGUGCAAAGGCAGAGAGUGAAGGUGUGGUGGUAGUGGCAGCAAGAAGGCUGCAAUAAUAUGGGCCUGAAAUGAAGUACCGGAACAUUAUCAGUCAUUCAGGCUAUGAUCCUGGCAGAUCUACUUCCUGAAAAGAAGACUCAGCAGAUCUUUUCAAGACACACUAGAUGGAGCGCGGAGAGACCGGACAGUUCCCACAGUGCUAGUUUUUCAGCACCCACACCCCCAACACAAAUUCAGAUAGAAGUUUUCAAUAAUAAAAAGUUCAUAUGAUAGUUUAUAUUUAGCUAUGAAGCAAUAGUUUAUUGUCAUAAAUAUUAAACUAAAUAUUAAAGUCCUUCUGUAGUGAAAAUCAAGUUUUUAUGCUGUUUUUUUGUCUUUGUGGCAUUAAAUAUUGCUACAUCACAAUCCAAUAACCAAUCACAUCUAAGAAUAAUUUCCUAUAGCAUGCCAAUACCAGCGCACAAGCACAAAGCUAAAGACAAAUUAUAGCAAAAAAAUUAGAUUUAAUAUUUGACUACAGGGGACUUACAUUUUUUUUUUACAGUCUGUUCAAUGUGUUGAAAGGGAAAGUGAUUAUCUUUAAUAAUUCAGAUACCUGUUGAAAUGCACAUGUAAUUGAAUGCUUGCUUGGAUCUGGAAUGUUGUGUUAAUAAAUGUUAUGCUGAAAGAGAAUGUUGCAACAGUGCUAACCUGAAAAUAAAAUUUUAUUAAGC
Long non-coding RNA from Carassius auratus (goldfish), 1234 nucleotides. RefSeq lists it as uncharacterized. The record is from RefSeq and is a predicted model, not a curated record. NCBI's taxonomy places the organism in Eukaryota, Metazoa, Chordata, Actinopteri, Cypriniformes, Cyprinidae. The transcript has 4 exons.